AUGCAAGUCGAACGGUAACAGGAAACAGCUUGCUGUUUCGCUGACGAGUGGCGGACGGGUGAGUAAUGUCUGGGAAACUGCCUGAUGGAGGGGGAUAACUACUGGAAACGGUAGCUAAUACCGCAUAACGUCGCAAGACCAAAGAGGGGGACCUUCGGGCCUCUUGCCAUCGGAUGUGCCCAGAUGGGAUUAGCUAGUAGGUGGGGUAACGGCUCACCUAGGCGACGAUCCCUAGCUGGUCUGAGAGGAUGACCAGCCACACUGGAACUGAGACACGGUCCAGACUCCUACGGGAGGCAGCAGUGGGGAAUAUUGCACAAUGGGCGCAAGCCUGAUGCAGCCAUGCCGCGUGUAUGAAGAAGGCCUUCGGGUUGUAAAGUACUUUCAGCGGGGAUGAAGGGAGUAAAGUUAAUACCUUUGCUCAUUGACGUUACCCGCAGAAGAAGCACCGGCUAACUCCGUGCCAGCAGCCGCGGUAAUACGGAGGGUGCAAGCGUUAAUCGGAAUUACUGGGCGUAAAGCGCACGCAGGCGGUUUGUUAAGUCAGAUGUGAAAUCCCCGGGCUCAACCUGGGAACUGCAUCUGAUACUGGCAAGCUUGAGUC
This 604-nucleotide ribosomal RNA is filed under the name uncultured Gammaproteobacteria bacterium. RNAcentral's name for it is "bacterial SSU rRNA". It matches the Rfam family "Bacterial small subunit ribosomal RNA", at positions 55 to 648 of the family's 1533-position model. The record is from RNAcentral. Lineage: Bacteria; Pseudomonadati; Pseudomonadota; Gammaproteobacteria.